This 1607-nucleotide long non-coding RNA is filed under the name Homo sapiens (human). Its description in RNAcentral is "HSALNT0401303". Lineage: Eukaryota; Metazoa; Chordata; Mammalia; Primates; Hominidae. The record is from RNAcentral.
CCCCCCUAGUGGAGGCCUCUUAAAGAAACAGGACGCCAUUCCCCUGCGGGCUACAGGGUCUGAAGGAAGCUGGAACACACUUUUUUCUCCUGCCUUUGGACAUCGGAACUCCAGGCUCUCCAGGCUUUCCAGACUCUGGACUUAACAGCAGUCUCUGGACUUACAACAGCAGCCCCCUGGAUCCUCAAGCCUUUGGCCUCAGACUAAUAAUUAUAUCAGCAACUUCCUGGUUCUGAGGCUUUUGGGCAGCCAUGCUACUAGCAACCCAGCAGUUCCAGCAGAAGGCCUGUUGUGGGACUUCUCAGCCUCCAUGAGCAUGUAAGCUUGCUUAAAAGAACUCCAGAUGGCCCGGGAGCUGCAGGACCCUUUGCCAAUUAUCAGAGGAAGAUAAGGCCUGUGUGAAACCGGGACAAACCUGAACCAGCGACCCCGUGUUACCUUUAGAUCAUUAACAUAUCAUCAUAAUGCUAAAACCUCACCCAUAGAAGAUAAUUGCUGCCAUUUUCUGAAUAUACAUUAUAUGAAGAAGCAUGUUCAUGAUCUGCACCUGCACAUCUGGAGUUCCUCCCCAUACAUGUUUACGUACCUCCCUGCCCCACAUCUAACUCCUUAAAAUCCCCCAGCUUCUCAUAUCUCAGGGAGAAGGAGUCUUUAGAGAAAGAGCUCCCUCCUCCAUUCCUGGCCAGGAAUAAAACCUGCUUGCCUUUUUUCCCAAUUAGGUGUUACAGUAGAACUCAGUUACCCUGUAACAAUAAGAAUUGCAUUAAAUCCUUAUAUCAACUUGGGAAGAAUUGACAGCUUUACCAUAUUAAGUCUUCUAAUCCAUAAAUAAGUAUGUUCAUCCAUUUUUUUAGAUUUUUGAAAUUUCUUUCAUCAGCAUUUUGUAGUUCUUUGCCUCACUAUCUAGAUCCCAAAUAUUUUCUGUUUUUUUUUUCUGAAAGUUUUAUCUCUUACAAUUUAAACCUGAGUAGUUCUCAGCAUGCAAGCCCCAUACAUGUUUUGUUGGAUUUAAAUUUAAGUACUUUGGUUUUUGAUAAAUUGUAAGUGCUACUGUAUUUUAAGUUUCAGUGCCCAUGUGUUCCUUGCUGGUAUAAAGAAAUACAACAUAUUCCUGCAGUCUAGCUGAAGUCACUUAUCAGCUCUAGGAGUUUCUGUUUUUUGUUUUAUUUUUGGUAGAUCUUUGAGAUUUCCUACUUUGAUAAGCAUGUUAUCCACGAAUAGGGACAGUUUUAUUACUACCUUUCUGAUCUGUAUGCCUUUUAUUUCCUUUUCUUACCUUAUUGCAUUGGGUAGAACUUCUAACACUGUUUAACAAUAAUGGUAAGAGCAGUCAUCCUUGCCCUUUUCCUCUUCUCAGGGGUACAACCAUUCAGUCUUUCACUGUUAAGUAUGAUGCUGGCUGUGGAGUUGUUAUAGAUGCUCUUUAACAAGUUAGGACAAAUUCCCUCUAUUUCUCUUUUUCUGAGCAUUUUUAAAACCAUGAAUGGGUAUUUUGUGAAAUGCUUUUUCUGUAUUGAUUGGUAAGAUCAAUUUUCUUUUGUAUCCAGUUAGUAUGUUGGAUUAUGUUGACUGAUUUGUGAAUAGUAAAACUGCCCUGCAUUCCUGCA